UUGUGAUUCCAAAUUCAUUACAUAAAUUUACACUCCAAAUUCAUUAAAUCACAAUUCACAUUUGAUAUAAAUAUACAAAUUCACAAUUCACAUUACUAAAAAUCCCAGCACAAAUGAAAAAACAUGGCCUCCUUAUUUAGAACCAUCAAAAUGAACACCAUAUUUGAUUUUUUUUUCCUAGGCCAUUACUAUAGAAAGUUGAAAAGAAUUCCGUCAAUUUUCCUCAGCUUCAUCUUCAU
Molecule: long non-coding RNA, 239 nt
Filed under: Gossypium barbadense (sea-island cotton)
Lineage: Eukaryota; Viridiplantae; Streptophyta; Magnoliopsida; Malvales; Malvaceae
Description: long non-coding RNA (GBAR_LNC007690)
Source: RNAcentral